CACAUGUCUCCUUUAAUUCCAUGAUAUGAGCUCUGAAAACAAAAAUACUCAAGGCACCAAAAUAUACAUUUUAAGAAUCUAACCAUUUUUAAGCUUUGGUUUGGAUUUCCAUCACCUUUUCCUCCAUAUUUUGAAUAAUUGAUAUUUUCAUGAACAGAUAAAAACCUUCAUUUCAUAUUUUAUGAUCUAGUUGCCAGAUGCAAAUCAAGCUUCUACCUGGGCAUCUGCAUUGCGAUCCCCUUCAAGUACCAUCCUCCACCACUAUGGACAUGAAAGAACCCACGUGGCUUUCUUGUGCCCUGGUGAUACUCCUUCUCCCUUACAGUCCUUAGCACCUAUAUUUUAGAGACAUGCUUGAAAAUUCAUUAGUAUUUGUAAUGUGAAUUUAAAUAUUUACAUUUUAACAUAAUUAUUUUGUAAGAAAACAGAAGUUAAUUCUAUGAUCCUCUUGCAACUUUUUUUUUUUUUUUUUUUGCUAAGAAUAGAAUAGCUAAAGCAGGUCUGGGUCACUUUAUUAGAACUAAGGAAACAUAAUAUGUGAUGCACAGAACUUUAGACAAAUUAGGCAACCCCUUGGGGCCAGUAAACACCCUCCUAGACUAACACAGAACUUGGAACAGGCCCAGUUGAAAAUUUGAAUCAGGUUUGCAGAAAAACAAAGGCUGGCAAGAAUAUAACUUUGGAAGAUUUACUCACUAAUUUUAGAGCUGCUGGAGGCCAACCAAAGAGAUUUGGGUUAUACAUUACCUAAGACUUAUGAUGGGAACUGGACUUACUAAGCCAAUUAAAGAAUGAUUCAUUCAACCAGUCAGUAAUCAGUAACUAGUUAGCAAUCUGUUGAUUUAG
RNAcentral lists this long non-coding RNA (846 nucleotides) under Bos taurus (domestic cattle). Its description in RNAcentral is "long non-coding RNA NONBTAT030509". The record is from RNAcentral. Lineage: Eukaryota; Metazoa; Chordata; Mammalia; Artiodactyla; Bovidae.